AUGUUGAUUUUUUUGUGCUGCUUCUGUUAUUGUUUAUUAAGAGGGUUCUCGAGUGCCAGGCUCUGCUCAGGUUUUCCCCAGCUCUGUUGGAAGGGGCAACACAGCUGUGCCUCCAAGAAGGUGAUGCAAAGCCCCCUGCCUCCCAAAAAGGAGUCUGAUGCCUUGGGUCAUGGGAGGCUGGCUACAAGAGACUGCAAAGCAGCAGCUUUGACGAGGACAACACAAAGCCUCCAGCCCUUAGAAGCCACCUCUAAGAAAUGCAGCCAGUGAUGAGCAACACAAGCUACAAAUGCAGAAGCUGUUGCUGGUCCGGGCAGUGUUUUCUACCAAGCUUCAGAGCAGAGCAAGUGACUGAAUCACACUGGCAUGACCCUGGCUGUAAAGCGUGAUUUUGGGGCAGCUGACAUUGAUUCUUUCACCUGCCUUCUCCUGCCUUUGCAAGCUGGCACGAGGGUCCUUUCAGCAUGCAUCAAGAGCAGUGCUGUGACUGAGUUGUGAAACACCUGGUGUAAGCAAUACCAGAAAAGGGUGUAAGCCUAUCGGGGACAUCUGAACAUGGCACCUUUUCAAAAUACCAAAUGACCCAUGCUAGCUGAUUGGGUUUACUACAAUAUUUCAUUAGGACAGAAGAACAGAUAAUGGUUUUCUUGUUCUGGGAAACCACUUUUUUUAAAUUCACUGUUCAUUCCCAAACCAGGUCAAACAGUCAACAGAGAAAAUUUCUUCAACAUGGUCACCACUAAUAGUAAGAAAGAAUGGGGUUCACUGAAAUAUUUGAGCAUAAAAGUGGUUCAUUUUUGUUUGACCAUUGUAUUUUUACUUUUCUUCAAUUUCAAUAAAUUUGCCUAAAUAAAAACA
This 858-nucleotide long non-coding RNA is filed under the name Anas platyrhynchos platyrhynchos (common mallard). RNAcentral describes it as "lncRNA (ENSAPLG00000017440.1)". Lineage: Eukaryota; Metazoa; Chordata; Aves; Anseriformes; Anatidae. The record is from RNAcentral.